Molecule: long non-coding RNA, 1409 nt
Filed under: Homo sapiens (human)
Lineage: Eukaryota; Metazoa; Chordata; Mammalia; Primates; Hominidae
Description: HSALNT0090465
Source: RNAcentral
AUCUUGAAUUCCCACAUGUUGUGGGAGGGGCCUUGUGGGAGGUCACUGAAUUAUGAGUCUGGGUCUUUCCCACGCUGUUCUCAGGAUAGUGAAUAGGUCUCAUGAGAUCUGAUGGUUUUUAAAAUGGGAAUUUCCCUGCACAAGCCCUCUUCUCUUGUCUGCCACCGUGUGAGACACGCCUUUCACCUUCCACCAUGAUUGUGAGGCCUCCCCAGCCAUGUGGAACUGUAAGUCCAUUAAACCUCUUUCUUUUGUAAAUUGUCCAGUCUCGAGUAUGUCCUUAUCAGCAGCAUAAAAGUGGACUAAUACAAGGAUUUUCUAGACCACUUUGGCAGCCAUCACUGAAACCGGCCUGAAAUAUAUAUAACGGUCCUUCUCUUAUGUUCAAGCCAAUUUGAAUGGAAGGAGAUUUCUUUAUUUCAGAUAUCCUCACUAAUUAAUGCUCUACAAUAGCAUAAAUUUCUUGUGGUCCAAAUCCUUUUCUUUUAAAAGUCACUAAGUGGCCAGGCAUGGUAGCUCACACUUGUAAUCCCAGCACUUUGGGAGGCCGAGGCAGGUGGAUCACCUGUGGUCAGCAGUUCGAGACCAUCCUGGCCAACAUAGGGAGCCUUCAUCUCUAAAAGAAAUAUAUAAUUCAUGAAUACUAACAGUUUAUGGUUUUUUUAGUCAUACAGUUCAAAUGCCUUCUACUAAUUUUAAACAGCAUCUGGAUUUUAAAGGAGCAAAAUUCAAAAGAAAAAAGCUUGAAAAUCCUUCACUGGAAAAACCUGCCCAUUAAAAAAAAAUAAGACCAAAGCUCAAUUCUCACCUGGUUCCAAAAACCAUUUGAAUUCAGCAUAUCAUGUGUUGGAUUUUAGAAUGGAGUAAGCAGAGAAACAGAGGGAAAACAGCAACAUGUGUAAGUGAUCACCAAAAAAAUAGCCCGUUUCCAAUACUGAAAAAAACAUGGCUUGUACAUAGGUCACAGAACAAAUCAGACGAAACCAAAGUGCCAAGUCACAACUUAAAGGAAAAGAAUCCACGAGGGACCUUCGUGAGCAGAUGGAUUAGAAAGGCUAAGUUUCAACUCAUGAAGACUUGAACCUACGCUAUCUGAAAUAGCCAGUCAAUAACAUUAAUAAUAAUCAUAAGACUCUGAAAACUACAGCUGGGGGGAUUAAGCCAAAUGGAGAAGCAAGGGACUGAACAAGAGAAGGGACUUUCCACAGAAUUACUGAAAACAACAAUCUGGUAAUGAGGGAGUUGCUUCUUUCUGCUGGAGUGAAAUUCCUCUACAAUGUUUUUCCUUUGUGGCUGCAUUUUCUAGCAUCAGUAGGAGUACCUUCUGAAGAGAGUAAGUCCAGUUCACUAUUGAAUCUGCAUUCAAAGAUGCCAGUAAGCAGAUUUGGAAACUGAAGCAAAGACCUUAA